GAAGCCCCAGUGAACGGCGGCCGUAACUAUAACGGUCCUAAGGUAGCGAAAUUCCUUGUCAGGUAAGUUCUGACCCGCACGAAAGGUGUAAUGAUUUGGGCACUGUCUCGGCAGCAGACUCGGUGAAAUCUUAGUACCUGUGAAGAUGCAGGUUACCCGCAACUAGACGGAAAGACCCCAUGGAGCUUUACUGUAGUCUGCUAUUGAGUUUCGGUUAAGUAUGCACAGGAUAGGUGGGAGACGAUGAGACUGGUCUUUUGGGAUCAGAGGAGUCACUGUUGGGAUACCACUCUUACUUAAUUGAAAUUCUAACUCUAAGCCGUGAUCCGGCUAGAGGACCGUGGCAGAUGGGCAGUUUGACUGGGGCGGUCGCCUCCCAAAGAGUAACGGAGGCGCACAAAGGUACUCUCAGAAUGGUUGGAAAUCAUUCAUCGAGCGCAAACGCAGAAGAGUGCUUGACUGCGAGACAAACAAGUCGAGCAGGGACGAAAGUCGGUGUUAGUGAUCCGGCGGUGCAGAAUGGAAUGGCCGUCGCUUAACGGAUAAAAGCUACCCUGGGGAUAACAGGCUGAUCUCGCCCAAGAGUUCACAUCGACGGCGAGGUUUGGCACCUCGAUGUCGGCUCAUCGCAUCCUGGAGGUGAAUUCGCUUCCAAGGGUUGGGCUGUCCGCCCAUUAAAGCGGUACGCGAGCUGGGUUCAGAACGUCGUGAGACAGUUCGGUCCCUAUCUGUUGUGGGCGUUGGAAAUUUGAGGAGAGCUGCCCCUAGUACGAGAGGACCAGGGUGGACGUUCCUACGGUGCACCAGUUGUCACGCCAGUGGCAUAGCUGGAUAGCUGAGAACGGACCGGAUAAACGCUGAAGGCAUCUAAGCGUGAAACCGACUCCAAGAUUAGAUUUCCCAUCAUUUCAAAUGAAUAAGACCCCUUGAAGACGACGAGGUUGAUAGGUCAGAGAUGUAAGUGUAGCGAUACAUUCAGUUGACUGAUACUAAUAGGUCGAAGAUUUAUUCAC
This 1013-nucleotide ribosomal RNA is filed under the name human oral metagenome. Its description in RNAcentral is "bacterial LSU rRNA". It matches the Rfam family "Bacterial large subunit ribosomal RNA", at positions 1914 to 2925 of the family's 2925-position model. The record is from RNAcentral.